Molecule: long non-coding RNA, 1028 nt
Organism: Pezoporus flaviventris
Lineage: Eukaryota; Metazoa; Chordata; Aves; Psittaciformes; Psittacidae
Exons: 2
Source: RefSeq, a predicted model, not a curated record
GUGCAAUGGAAAAGCAGAUGCUUACAGUAAAGUUGCUAAUGACAACUGUCUGACAGAAUGAAUGGAGGGGGGGCUCUAAUGAAAAAAAACACACAACUUGUUAAGUCUGUAUUCUCAUUUUGGUGUACACAGCAGGAGGUACAGCUGGAUAAUGGGGACCAUACUGUCAUGUCGAGUUUGGGCCAUUGCAGGACUUCACUCAGGUGUUUAUAUGUGACUAAUGUGAUUUGAAACACAACAGGCUCUUCAGGCACUGAGCAAAGUGGGUGACUACUGUGCUCUGACCACUUGGGCCCAGGCAGAGACUGAGGGCUGAUGAGAUGAAAUACUCAAGUGAUUCCAAGCGCAAGCCAUACCCCAUGCUGGAUAGACAGGUAGAACCAUAAAGCAACUGGAAAGAGACUGAUUUUGUUACACAGCAUGGCAGAGCAGGAUUCUGAUCUGCUCUUUUUGCCCUGGAAAUACCAGUCACUAACUUGCUCAAUCAACUAUCCAAGAUUUUGCUUGUUAAGGAAGAAAUAAAAGAAUACUCCUUGAUUAUGGAAAGCAGCCAGUAGCAUGUCUUAUAGUGUAAUGCAUCAGAAAAGCCUUAAAAGAGUAAACUUUGAGAUAUGCCAUUUUCUUGGCUAUCAGGUUUUUUUGUUUGUUUAUUUGGGUGGGGUUUUUUUUGCUGUUGCUGACAGAAACUGUUCAGUUAACAAAUUAUAUUUUUGGUGUGGGAUAUGAGACUGCCCCGGCCCAAAGCAUGCUGAAACAGAAACCAGCUUUUAAUGUUGACAAUAAAAACUAUUAAUUACGCUAAAACAGGAUCAGUGUCUCAUUCCAUAAUGAAAGAGCAGAGCCAAUUAAAAGUAUCUGCAUUAUCUGGUCUAUACUUCAUUAGUCAGUCUCUUCUUUUCCUACCAACUUUUAUAUUAACUUUAGAAAUUCCUGUAUUUUUGAGUGGGGACUCUGAGUAACAAAUAGUAUUGAAAAGUUUCUAUUUCUUCAACUACUUCCUUAUAAAAUAACAUUAUGUGUUAUCUAAC